RNAcentral lists this ribosomal RNA (301 nucleotides) under uncultured bacterium. RNAcentral's name for it is "partial 16S ribosomal RNA". It matches the Rfam family "Bacterial small subunit ribosomal RNA", at positions 509 to 807 of the family's 1533-position model. The record is from RNAcentral.
CAGUCGCCGCGGUAAUACGAAGGGGGCUAGCGUUGUUCGGAAUUACUGGGCGUAAAGGGCGCGUAGGCGGCCAUUCAAGUUAGAUGUGAAAGCCCUGGGCUCAACCUAGGAAUUGCAUUUGAUACUGUUUGGCUUGAGUUCGGGAGAGGUGAGUGGAAUUCCCAGUGUAGAGGUGAAAUUCGUAGAUAUUGGGAAGAACACCAAUGGCGAAGGCGGCUCACUGGACCGACACUGACGCUGAGGCGCGAAAGCGUGGGGAGCAAACAGGAUUAGAUACCCCCGUAGUCCCUGUCUCUUAUAC